Molecule: long non-coding RNA, 464 nt
Filed under: Dromaius novaehollandiae (emu)
Lineage: Eukaryota; Metazoa; Chordata; Aves; Casuariiformes; Dromaiidae
Description: lncRNA (ENSDNVG00000004294.1)
Source: RNAcentral
CGAGCGCAGCCGGGCGCCCCCGCCGCCGCGCGCAGCCCGGGAGCGGCAGACGGGACAGGCGGGCGUGCGGACGCGCCGUCGGGGCCAGGGGAAGCGGAGGGGGCAGACGGCACCGCUCCGACGGGGGAACCUGCCCAGCAGCGCCGGAACCGGCGGAGAGAGCCGCUCCCCCCCUCCUCCCUCCCCAAUCCACCCCCGCGACCCUGGUCCUCCUCCUCCUCCUCCUUCUCCUCCUCCUCCUCCUCACCCCACUGGAUACAGCGAGGGAGACACUGCGGCGGAGGCGGCGGCGGCGGCGGCUCCUGCGGGGGGAAGGAAGCGCCCGGAGAGCGGAGCGGCAGGAGGCUGCGGAUCUGUGUGCCUGGCGCCCACCCAGCCCGAGGGGAGCCCCCAGAAUGCGGCUGAAGCCCGGCGCGCUCCUGCGCUUCUACAGCCUCUGCGGGAUCCUCAUACAAGGUGAGUAA